Molecule: ribosomal RNA, 390 nt
Filed under: uncultured bacterium
Lineage: Bacteria
Description: bacterial SSU rRNA
Rfam family: Bacterial small subunit ribosomal RNA
Source: RNAcentral
AUUGAACGCUGGCGGCAUGCCUUACACAUGCAAGUCGAACGGCAGCACGGGAGCAAUCCUGGUGGCGAGUGGCGAACGGGUGAGUAAUAUAUCGGAACGUGCCCAGUCGUGGGGGAUAACGUAGCGAAAGCUACGCUAAUACCGCAUACGAUCUAUGGAUGAAAGCGGGGGAUCGCAAGACCUCGCGCGAUUGGAGCGGCCGAUAUCAGAUUAGGUAGUUGGUGAGGUAAAGGCUCGCCAAGCCGACGAUCUGUAGCUGGUCUGAGAGGACGACCAGCCACACUGGGACUGAGACACGGCCCAGACUCCACGGAGGCAGCAGUGGGAAUUUUGGACAAUGGNGCAAGCCUGAUCCAGCAAUGCCGCGUGCAGGAUGAAGGCCUUCGGUUG